ACACAAGUUUCCUCUUUGAAUUGAGCAGCAGAAAUGAAAGCAGCAAAUGAAGCAGAAGGAAAAGUAGAAUCCGAGAAGGCAGACAUGGAAGAUGGAGAGA
RNAcentral lists this small RNA (100 nucleotides) under Pan troglodytes (chimpanzee). RNAcentral's name for it is "processed transcript". The record is from RNAcentral. Lineage: Eukaryota; Metazoa; Chordata; Mammalia; Primates; Hominidae.